Rosa rugosa (rugosa rose) is the source of this 799-nucleotide long non-coding RNA. RefSeq lists it as uncharacterized. The record is from RefSeq and is a predicted model, not a curated record. The transcript is spliced from 3 exons. Lineage: Eukaryota; Viridiplantae; Streptophyta; Magnoliopsida; Rosales; Rosaceae.
GAAAAACGUUCUUCAUCAAAUUUGUUCAUCAUCAUCUCAUCUAUAACAUAUCCAAAAAUCAGUGCGAUCAGAUCUGUAAUGAAGUCUGUACAUCGAUCUGAGUAGAGGUAGCUCAGAAAUCAGCAGAUUUCGAGUUUCAGAUUUUCUUUAUCCUCUUUCCUUUUCAGGAUUUCUCAAAUUCAUUUGGAAAUAAUUCUAUUAUGAGGUAAUAUCAUUGUUCAGUUUAUAUUUCCUUCUCUUCCUACCAAUUUUAGAACUCAAUAUACUUUAUUGAGUAUCCUACUCAAUGAGGUCCUCUUAUUUUACCUUGCAUGUUUAAAUCGGAAGUGACAUUCCUUGAUAUAUGACUGGGCUUGGCCAAAUUUGUCUUGUCUCCAUCUUUUCCUGUCGAAUUUCAUGAGGGAACUCACCCAUACGUUUGAUUCAGUGGGCCUCCUAUAACUCAAAGGAGAUCAGUGGACGAUGGCGUUGCAUUGAUUAUCCACCCAACAUCGCUUAGCUUUGGACUCCAGUUGUGUGAUUGCAGGUACUGUGCACAAAGACGGGACAACUAGGAUUGACGAUGGGUGUGGCAUGCUUUCUCUCAAUUUCGAAUUUGUGUAUUGUCGAAAAGUUGUUCCCGUUAACAGGUUUUGGAUUGUGGAUUCCAAAUCCUAUUAUCUAUCUCAUGAUUCUACCUAUUUCAUAAUUCCUUGUUUUGUAGUAAGUUUGUAACAAUUGAUAAGAACAUCUUCUUCAAUUAUUUUCUGCUGGUUAUGUGUUUGCUAUGAAGUUAUUGAUUCAGAAAUUGCAUACUAAG